AUUGAACGCUGUCGGCAGGCCUAACACAUGCAAGUCGAACGAGUGGCGGACGGGUGAGUAAUGUCUGGGAAACUGCCUGAUGGAGGGGGAUAACUACUGGAAACGGUAGCUAAUACCGCAUACCCUCAGAUGUGCCCAGAUGGGAUUAGCUUGUUCGUGGGGUAACGGCUCACCAAGGCGACGAUCCCGAGCUGGUAUGAGAGGAUGACCAGCCACAAUGGAAGUGAGAAACGGGCCAGCCUCCGACGGGAGGCAGCAGUGGGGAAUAUUGCACAAUGGGCGCAAGCCUGAUGCAGCCAUGCCGCGUGUAUGAAGAAGGCCUUCGGGUUGUAAAGUACUUUCAGCGGGGAGGCGUUACCCGCAGAAGAAGCACCGGCUAACUCCGUGCCAGCAGCCGCGGUAAUUC
RNAcentral lists this ribosomal RNA (406 nucleotides) under uncultured bacterium. RNAcentral describes it as "partial 16S ribosomal RNA". It matches the Rfam family "Bacterial small subunit ribosomal RNA", at positions 30 to 526 of the family's 1533-position model. The record is from RNAcentral.